CCGCAGCCUCUCCUCGUAAGUCAGGUGCCCCAGCCCCCUAAUCAUUUUCGUUGCCCUCCGCUGGACUCUCUCCAAUUUGUCCACAUCCCUUCUGUAGUGGGGGGACCAAAACUGAACACAGUACUCCACGUGUGGCCUCACCAGCGCCGAAUAGAGGGAAAGAACCACUUCCCUC
Molecule: long non-coding RNA, 175 nt
Organism: Chelonia mydas (Green sea turtle)
Lineage: Eukaryota; Metazoa; Chordata; Testudines; Cheloniidae
Exons: 3
Source: RefSeq, a predicted model, not a curated record